RNAcentral lists this transfer RNA (52 nucleotides) under Frullania monocera. RNAcentral's name for it is "partial tRNA-Leu". Lineage: Eukaryota; Viridiplantae; Streptophyta; Jungermanniopsida; Porellales; Frullaniaceae. The record is from RNAcentral. RNAcentral also lists the same sequence under 2 other names.
CUAAAAUCCGUUGGCUUUAUAGACCAUGAGGGUUCAAGUCCCUCUACCCCCA